This is a non-coding RNA of Podarcis lilfordi (Lilford's wall lizard), 78 nucleotides long. NCBI's taxonomy places the organism in Eukaryota, Metazoa, Chordata, Lepidosauria, Squamata, Lacertidae. The record is from the annotation of a GenBank genome assembly.
GGAAUUGCCUCAGCUCAGAGGUAGAGCGUUUGCUUUGCUUGCAAAAGGUCCCGGGUUGUGCAAUUUGCAGCAUUUCCA